UCAGGACAGACCCCAACCAGCCCUUUCCCAGAAGGGCUCCCUGGAGGUGACAGAGAAAACACAAAGUGUCUAACUGCUCUGCUGUGCAAAGCUCUCCUCCCAGGGCUUGACAGAGACUCCACAGCCGAGCCCAGGAAUCCAUGAGAAAGAUGCUCCUCACUGAUAAAAAAGAGAAGCAUAGGAGGAGAGUCCCCUUCCUCCGUCUCUGCAAUGCUAUCAUUCGCCUGUGACUCCUUUGACCUCGGCAGCCAGCUGGCGUCCUGAAGGAACUGUCCUGAGAUGACAGGCUGGGUGACGGGAAGGCACCAAGGCCCCUGACGACUUCAUCACGGGGAUCUGCUCUCCCUCUGGACUUUUUGUUAGGGAGAUGAGUCUUUCUUAUUGUCUAAGCCAUCUUGGUGGCCAAAGAUAUCCUGAUACCAACACUUUGCUACAAGAAGAAAGAGGAGGCUUUUAAAGAAGAGAUUAGAAGCAGAGGUGGAGGACGUGGUGAACACUCCACACAUUGGAGGUGGAUCAAAAAAUAUAUUGCUGCGAUUUAUGUCAGAGAGUGUCCUGCCUAUGUUUUCUUCUAAGAGUUUUAUAGUGUCCAGGACUGACUAAUGUAUCCAAGGUCAUAGAGAAGUUACAGCAGAACCGCCAUUCACCUCUUGAAGGAGGAAACAGACCACAACUCCAAAGAACAGAAUUCCGUCUCCAAGUUUAACAGUUUCCCCUCUUUCAUUUGUGUAUAGGAUCUGCAGUGUCUAGCAGCUAAGACAGCCCAAAACUUUCUCAUUUUUCAAAGAACAAAAACACCCAUCACCUGCUCUACUCAUCCCCUCCUUAGCAUCAAAGAAGAGAAAACGAAAUGACUAGAAUAACGGUCUUGCUCCUGAUGACGCACGGGUGAAGCUAUGUCUGUUUUUAUUAAUUACCAUUUGAGUGUUAUGGAAAAUCUUACCAAUAAUCAAGAGUAUGUGCCAGUUACAGAGUCCCAGAUUUGGAGGUUUGGAAUGAGACCACACAGAAGGCAGGUGCUGGUUGGCCUCAAGUUAACAUGAAGACAGCCAAAAUGGAAAAAGAGGGUUAUUUGAUUGGAAGAUCAGAGAGAAGCAAUUAGUCAUGGGAUAUCAUGAUUCCAGCCCAUCUGAUGAAGUCAUGUUAACAUCUGUCAAUGAGAAGAGUCUUGUGACAUCCUUUAACAUGGAUGCAGUCUCCAUGUGGACCCAUGGCCGGCUGAACAAGCAAUCCAAACAUCCUGGAGUCUUGGGUCUCAGGCCGUUUUGCAGAUUCAUAUUCGUCCUGUAAGACUUGGCUCCUAUGCGCCCUUCUGCAAUGUCUUCUCCACCCUAGAAAAAUAGGGUAAGUGCACCGGCAUCUAGCAGGCCCUGCAAGGGGAUGAAAGUGCCUAUUUACAACCUGGUUGGCCUGCUUGGCCUGUAAGCUCUUUAAAGGCAAUAGCCGUGUCCAAUUUGGUUUUUAUUUUUCCUUCCUAACAGCUUUAUUGAGAUAUAAGUCAGGUACCAUAAAAUCUAUUCUUUUGAAGUGUACAGUUCACUGGUUUUUAGUAUACUCUCAGAGGUUUGAAACUAUCACUGUGUAGUUUCAGAACACUUUCAUCAUCCCUCUUAUGGGCUGAAUUAUGCCCCCCCACCAAAAUUCACAAGUUGAAGUCCCAACUCCCUAUACCUCAGAAGUUCUUUAAAGAGAUGAUCAAGCUAAAAUGAGGCCAUUAAGGUGGGGCCCUAAUCCAAUAUGACCAGUGUCCUUAUAAGGAGAGAGAAAGAGAGAGACACCAGGGGCAUGCUACAGUAGCACGCAGAGGAAAGGCCACAUGAAGACGAUGAGGAGGCUGCCAUCUACAAGCCAAGGAGGGAGGUCUAAGAAGAAACCAAUCCCACUAGCACCUCGACCUUGGACUUCCAGCCUCUAGAACUGUGAGAGACACAUUUCUAUUGUUUAAGCCACCCAGUCUGUGAUAUAUUGUUACAGCAGCCCUCGAAAACUAAUUCAAUCCCCAAAGAAACCCUUCACCCAUUAGCAGUCACUCCCAUCCCCACGCCCCAUGGUUCCUGGCCACCACUGAUCUGUGAUUUCUGUCUAUAUGUAUUUGCCUAUUCUGGACAUUUCAUAUACAUGGAAUCAUACGACAUGUGGUAUUUUGUGACUGGCUUCUUUCACUAAUGUUUUCAAGGUUCAUCCAUGUUGUUUUGGUACUUCAUUCCUUUUUAUGGCUGAAUAGUUUUCCAUUGUAUUGAUAGACCACAUUUUGUUUACCCAUUUGUCAGUUGAUGGAUAUUUAGAUUACUUCCACUUUUCGGCUAUUACGAAUAAUGCUGCUAUAAACAUUUGUGUACUAGUUUUGGUGUGGAGAUAUGUUUUUCUUUUGGAAAACAUAUUCUAGGAGUAGAAUUGCUGGGUCAUGUGGUAAUUCUAUGUUUAACAUUUUGAGGAGCGGGCAGAUUGGUUUGCAAAGUGGUUGCACCAUUUUACAUUCCCAUCAGCAGUGUAUGAGGUUUACAACUUCUCCACAUCCUCAUGGACACUUUUAUUCUAGCCAUCCUAGUGGAUAUGAAGUUAUCUCUCAUUGUGGUUUUGAUUUGCAUAUCUUUGAUGGCUAAUGAUGUCAAGUAUUUUUUCAUAUGCUUUAUUGGCCAUUUGUGUAUCUUCUUUGGAAAAAUGUAUAUUCCUAUUUGUUUUUACUCCAGCCCCUGGUCCAAACUGGGCAUACAGUGGGGGCUUAAUAAAUAGAAGUCACAAACCACUUACAGCAGAAUCACCCAGGGCUCCUAGGUCCCAACUGAGACCUACUGGGUCAAACUUUCUGGCCUCAGAAUCCACAUGUAAACAACAUCCUGGGGAGGUUUCCACCACACACUGAAGUUUGAUAACUACUACCUUAACUGAACUAAAGAUUCUUUAAAUAUCUGAAGAGCUGUGAUGUAUUCAGAGGUAAACAUGAGAUCUAUGCUGUUCUAGACUGCAGGUGUGGGGCUGGUGGACAACAGUCACAGGCAGGAGGACGUCACCUCAUCACGUGGUAUCGACUGAGCUUGGCAUUUGGCUGGUCUAUUUGCUAUGAAAGUUGCAGAAGGGAGUCGCAAUUGGCUGAGAUGUAGAACAGCGUGUGGUCCUUGUAGGGAAAGUACCAGGUAGAUUCCAUUAAUUUUAAAAUAUUCUGCCUUAUGAUAACAUAUCCUGGUAUUUGCUGUAUCUAAAAUGGACUAA
Balaenoptera acutorostrata (minke whale) is the source of this 3210-nucleotide long non-coding RNA. RefSeq lists it as uncharacterized. Lineage: Eukaryota; Metazoa; Chordata; Mammalia; Artiodactyla; Balaenopteridae. The record is from RefSeq and is a predicted model, not a curated record. The transcript is spliced from 6 exons.